AGAACAGACAUUUUGACACCUUUUCUCUCCGGCCUGAGACCAGGAGACCCUUGAAAGGAAGGAGAGUUCCCAUGGCUCUGCAGGGCCUGUUUCAGAACCAUCUGGCGUUUGGGAAGAGGACGGACUCCAAACCUGCCAGGGACACAGAUGAAAUGUGACCAAACAUCAAGGACCAAGAGAUGCCUUUGGCACAGAGGAGCAGAGAAGCCCAGCCACGUGGGCACCAACACAGUGGGGUGUGUGUGUUUGUCCCCCAUGAACAACAGAAAGAGGGCCUCCCUGAGGCUCCUAGAUGAAAACUGAAGCCCACUGGAGAAGUGAAGAAAAUCUGCGAUAAAGGAUCACCACACCACCGUAGUUGGUAAUUGGAGGAACCAGCACCUCGCAUCAGAACCUGGUCUAACUUCAGGGAGAAAGACAGCUGGAACCUGCAGUAGAACCUUGCAGAGUUCAACCCGGCAGAAGGUCAGAGAUCUUCACUUGGGCCUUGCAGCCAGAAAUCAGCCUGGACCUCAGGGGACAGCUGCUGGCUUACUGAGACUAAUUAACUUAGAUCUGCCCACUCCUGCCCACGCUGUUUAUUGUGUCAACAGAGGCAUAUCCUGAAGGAGGCCCUCUAUUUUUUAUUUUCAAAGUU
Long non-coding RNA from Fukomys damarensis (Damara mole-rat), 637 nucleotides. RefSeq lists it as uncharacterized. The transcript is spliced from 3 exons. NCBI's taxonomy places the organism in Eukaryota, Metazoa, Chordata, Mammalia, Rodentia, Bathyergidae. The record is from RefSeq and is a predicted model, not a curated record.